CAUUGUCAGCGAAGCUUUUCUUCAUUUUGAUGAAUCACCAGUUAUAAAAAACCUUUAGUGUGUAUAUCUGGAUCUUGUGGUCCCUGUGUGACUAUUAGAAUGAAGAGACUUGAAGAAUGAAGAGUGAGCAAAGCCAGACCUUCAUGAUCCUGAUGUUCACGAUCCAUGGUACUAUUCAGAGAGAACACAACAGCGUUAUUCGAAGUACACCACUGAGUAGAGGAACUGCUUUCUGAGGAGUUACAACCCAUUGUUAUUUAAAUAAGGAACAUCUAUGACAUCUCUUCUGCCAACAGGAUCUCCUUUACAUAACCUACACAGAAGAAAGACUGAAGAAAAACAACAUUUACAAAGUAAUCCCAAAGGUUGUGUUGCGUCAGGAAUACAAAUAUGAAUAAGACACAAUCCAUGGACUAAGAAGCUUCAAAUUCAGGGGGAGGGCACUAAUGUUUUCUAUCUUGUACAUUUUAAUUUCAAAGUAAGAAAUAUAAAGAUUGUAAUUAAUAAACUAUAGCUGGGCAUUUGGAUCUGAUGCUAAAAAGAGAAGUCUUUAAAUAAAGUUUGAAGUCAGUAAGAUCCAUCUGAUUGUUGAAGAAAUGAUGACGACUGAAAUUGUCCAGGAAAUACAUACAGAAGAGAAGCAAUGGUGGGAGAGGAAAGAGAGCCAAAGAAAGAAUAUAAGAACAACCAAGCCAAUUGGCAUAAGCAAAUCAAGAGAGAGCAGUGUGUAGUGGGACAUACAGGAGCAGAGGUUUUCAAGAAGCAGAGAGGAUUGACCUUCUCAGUUGCUGUGAGAGAGACGGUACCCUGAGGACUGAGAAUAAGCCAUUGACAACUCCAGCCAAUUACAUUCAUCUUUGAGACACCCAUUCUACAGCAAGGGGAACGGGUUAGGAGAGUCAAGAAGGCUGAUUUCUCAAAUGUGGUGAGAGAGAGAGUGGUGCUAGCUCAAUAAGAAGUCACGGUUAAAAGAAAGUUUGCUUAAUGGUGGAAAAAUUCUACUCAAAUAUUUUUAUGAGUGAUGGGUAAAAGCCAAUGGAAAAAGAGACAUUUAAAACCUGAAAAGAAAAGGACAGAACAAGCUACAGGAGAGGGUUGGAACAGGAUCGAGAGUCUAAGCACAGGUGUUCAGUGUGAGAGGAAGCUUGAGCACCUCUUCCUCUGAAACAGGAGGAAACUUUGAAGGUAUGGUGUUGUGGGUAACUUUGGAGGUAAGGCAGGGCACUAAAGGAGAUCUGUUGGGGCCAGAGAGGAGGACGAUGAAACACAGACUUAACAGAAAGGAGCUGAACUUCAGCUGUGAAAGAGAAUAGUCAGCCAGCUAGAGAUGAAUAAAUGCCUUUUCCAGAAGCACCUAACGACAUGGGUGUGUGCAUUCCCACCAUUAACAGUUGCCAUGUAAAAAGAAAUAUUCCUUGCCUGAGACUAAAGGAAUCAGAAUUUUCAGGAGUGUAUGUCUGUGACUAUAUAUACAUAUACAUAUUUUUACACAGGCAUAUAUGUAGAUAUAUAUAUAUGCACAUAUACAUGCGUAUAUAAUUAAAUAUAUAUAAUAUGCAAUGUAUAUUAUUAAUAUAUUAUUGAUGUGUAUUAGAGAGGGGGAGAGAGACGGACAGACAAACAAACAGGCUCAUUCUUUUCUAAAAUUCUAAGGCAGAUAUUUCCAUGUAGUUAUUCUGAUGUCAUUAAAAGUCAGAAAAAGUGAGCGCUUUACUAGGGUUAGGAGAAAUUUACUUCUAUAAACUUUGCUACCUUGCUUGGGAAAGGAGUUCUAACCAUUUAUUAGAAGAUAAUACAUUUAAAGAUUUCCCCAAAUAGUAUCUAUUUGGUAGUCUAAUGAUGGAGUGUGUAACAGCUGUAAGUACAUUAAAGUGUUUCUGGCAAAGUAAACAUCUAUUUUGUAUUAAAUAUGUUAGAAAAAUCAAAACCGGGUUUUAAAAAAUAUGCUUUUUUAAUUGCUCAUUUUUAGAGAUUGAGCAUUUUAAAGCAGUUACUCAUAGGAUGUGCUUUAUCGUUAUUAAAUAUUAUAAUUCAAUAUAUAAUUAAAUAAUAGGACCAGUAAAGAAAAGACAAUGUGUAGUAAUAAUGUAUUUUCUCUCUAUAAGAAGAAUGAUGCUGUUUCUUAGGAGUGCGACCUCUCUGUUUCUCCAGCGUCGCUGGCUCUUUCAGGCAUUGUGAUCCUGCUCUUGCUCUUUUUUCGUCCUGGAAGGCUCUGCCAGGGAUGUAGCAUGACUGGUUGUGUCGUUCGUGUCUCAGACUGCGUGUCAGCAAAACCUCCCUUGACUGUCUAUCUAAAAGCUUCCCUCCCACCCGCUGCUCAGUCUGUUGUGACUCUGGGUUUUCUUUGGAGCUUUAUCAUUGGUCAAGAUUAUCUUGUCGUUCAUUUGCUUGCCUGUUUGUUUAUUGUGUGUAUCCCUUGAUUACCAUGUAAUUCUAGGAGGGC
RNAcentral lists this long non-coding RNA (2443 nucleotides) under Equus caballus (horse). RNAcentral describes it as "lncRNA (ENSECAG00000052310.1)". Lineage: Eukaryota; Metazoa; Chordata; Mammalia; Perissodactyla; Equidae. The record is from RNAcentral.